GAUCCGUUCGUCCCAGGUAAGAACCCGAGUCUGCCGGCAGCGGACCUCGAUUCCGCCGAGGUACGCACGCGUCCGCCGCUACUUGUCGUCUCCAUCCUCUAACCGAUCCGCCCGAUUAGUUUACCGCUGUUUCGUUGCUGCGAGAUUGCAUCUGCCGUUCUGAUUUCGUCUCGAGAGCAUCCGUGAUGUUACAUCCAGUUAAUCAUCCUUGCACUUUGAGGUUCGACAGUGAAGACAAACAUUGGGGAAUAUGUAGUCUGAGAUGCUCUCGCGUUCUUCUAUUUCUUGUUGAUUUUUUUUGUUUGUUUGUUUUGUUUGCGGCUUUGUGUUGCUUCAAGUCGUGGAUCGAUGAUGCGAAUAUUAACUGCGUUAUCUUUCUUGAACUUCUAAGUACUGAAGACACCAUAGUUUACUGAGAUCCAAGGAGCGCUUGAAGCUUUCGAACUUUUUUGUUUUGUUUUGUUUUAUAUGAUCACCUAUGAUUAAUGUGGCGGCUUGUACUAUGUAAAAUUAGUGUCACGAUGCAGUCGGUUCUUUGUUUACUUAUCGUCUUUUUUUUUUAUCUUCAUUGAUUCGUUUUUGCUCUGACUUUUGAUUGUUCUGUGCUUCGUCAUCUGGUCAUCGGGAGGAUCAGUUUCUGACUGAUCGGUUCCCAAUCGACUCGUUCCCUUGAAGCAACAUUGACCUGUUGUAUCCUGAGCUUCUUAUUGUCGUGCCCCUAGGAUGCGCCUCUCGCCUAAGGGCACAGUGGCUCUUACAUACAUUAUGCCCAUUAUAUCUCUCUAUUCUGGUUGAUCUGAAAUUGGGGAAAUCAAUAUAUGGCGAUGAUGAUAAAACUAAGGCUUGUUUCUCUGUUCAUUCGCAGUUGCCGCCUAAGAGCUUUCGCCCUGCCAGGUUUGAGAGCUGAUGCUGCUAAUUCCUUCCUUGGAUGUCUGAGCCAUGCUGAUUUCCCCAGUUUAUCUUUUUCUUUGCUUGUGCUGGUUUUCGGUUUAGGGUGUGCUUUAUCAUUACUACAAACAUCUUCCAUAUAUUUUGCACAAUUAUAUUAUAUGCUGGUAGUCUGGUUGUAUGAAAGUGGGAAGUCAAUUCAUGGCGAUGAUGAUAAAACUAAGGCUUGUUUCUCAGUACAUUCGCAGUUGCCGCCUAAGAGCUUUCGCCCUGCCAGGUUUGAGAGCUGAUGCUGCUAAUUCCUUCCUUGGAUGUCUGAGACAUGCUGAUUUCCCCAGUUUUUUUUCCCGUCUGAUUGUUUUCAGUUAUGGUGUGUUUUUAUCACUACUGAUAGAUCACUUGUAAUAAUAUCAUCAAUGCAAACAUUUAGUUGUGUUAUUUAUAUAUAGACAUCUUACAUAUAUUAUGCACAAUCGUAAUUACAUUCUUGCACUCUUGUUUGUAUGAAAGUGGGGAAUUCAAUUCAUGGCGGUGAUGAUAAAACUAAGGCUUGUUUCUCAAAACAUUCGCAGUUGCCGCCUAAGAGCAUUCGCCCUGCCAGGCUUGAGAGCUGAUGCUGCUAAUUCCUUCCUUGGAUGUCUGAGCCAUGCUGAUUUCCCCAGUUCAUGUUUUUUUUGCGUGUGCUGGUUUUUGGUUUAGAGUCUGUUUUUAUCGGUACUUAGAGAUCACUAUAUCAUCAAUGCAAUUUAUAUACAUAUAUUUUGCACUAUUAUAUUAUAUUUUGGCAGUCUACCUGAUUCAUUGCCCUUUGUUUUUCAAAAUAAAGGGUUUCAUUUUUAGACUUUUCUAAUUGUUCCAAACUAAUAGAAGUAGCAUUAAUCAAAUUUGCUUUUUCUCGUUCUAUAUCAGAGUAUCCAUUCAUUCGAUACUCAUCCGCCUCUAGUUCGACUUUCUGUAAUCGAAUCUGAGCUUUUUCGAGUUUCUCAAUGGUCCCUCUACGCAAUUCUUCUGAAUAGUUGGUAUGAAAGUGGGAAGUCAAUUCAUGGCGGUGAUGAUAAAACUAAGGCUUGUUUCUCAAAACAUUCGCAGUUGCCGCCUAAGAGCUUUCGCCCUGCCAGGCUUGAGAGCUGAUGCUGCUAAUUCCUUCCUUGGAUGUCUGAGCCAUGCAGAUUUCCCCGGUUAAUGUUUUUUUUUGCUUUUGCUGGUUUUAGGUUUAGGGUCGGUUUUUAUCAUUAUUUCUGGUAGAUUACUUGCAAUAAUAUCAUCAAUGCAAUAUGUUUUGCAUAUAUUUUGCACAAUUAUAUUAUAUUCUGGCAGUCUGGUUGGUAUGAAAGUGGGUAGUCAAUUCAUGGCGAUGAUGAUAAAACUAGGCUUGUUUCUCAAAACAUUCGCAGUUGCUGCCUAAGAGCUUUCGCCCUGCCAGGCUUGAGAGCUGAUGCUACUAAUUCCUUCCUUGGAUGUCUGAGCCAUGCUGAUUUCCCCAGUUCAUGUUUUUUUUUUUGCGUGUGCUGGUUUUUGGUUUAUGGUCUGUUUUUAUCGGUACUUAUAGAUCACUUGUAAUAAUUUCGUCAAUGCAAUUUAUAUACUUAUAUUUUGCACUAUUAUAUUAUAUUUUGGCAGUCUGGUUGGUAUGAAAGUGGGAAGUCAAUUCAUGGCGGUGAUGAUAUAACUAAGGCUUUUUUCUCAAAACAUUCGCAGUUGCCGCCUAAGAGCUUUCGCCCUGCCAGGCUUGAGAGCUGAUGCUGCUAAUUCCUUCCUUGGAUGUCUGAGCCAUGCUGAUUUCCCCGGUUAAUGUUUUUUUUUCUUGUGCUGGUUUUAGGUUUAGGGCUGGUUUUUAUCAUUAUUUAUGGUAGAUUACUUUUAAUAAUAUCAUCAGGGCAAAACUUUUUUUUUGUCUCUAAAUAGUGGCUUUUCUCUAAUUGAUUGCUUUUCUCACUGCCCCAUUAUUGAUUAGGCCAUCUACAGAGAGGUGGAUCUUUGUAUUUCUGCUCUGUUGCUACUACAUGUUUUUGUAAAUUUCAUUUUUUCUUUUUUGCCUUCUAGUUAACGAUGGAAAAUCGCAAGAUUUGUUCAGUUGAUGUGAUGAUUACCUUUCACAGAAAAUCAAAUUUAGUGUUGACUAAAAUUACAGACUACAAUUAUGUGAUCAACUCCUGAAAUAUUUGCUGCACUGAUCUUUUCUCCUGUUCCUCCGAAUCUUAACCUCUUCUAUUGGUGAUGCAAAAUCCUAAUCUGAAUAGACUUUGUGCCAGUAUUUUAUCUGGUUGCUGAUGCCGUUCGUGCACAGCAAGCUGUUGCUCUGGAUGAGAAGAGGAAGGAUGCAUCGUAAUGUUCACGGAGAUCGACUGAACUUGUCUGCAUGUCUGCUUGCCCUGACGCUUUCUGGCCUUGAGCUCGUGGGCCUGGAUUUGACACACAUUGUUUAUUCAUCCCAUAUUAAACAUUUGGCAGGGUUUGCACAGCGCAUGGCCUUGUCUGUAUCUGGAGGCUGUGAUUGUCUUCUGCCAGCAGCUCAGAUGGAUUGAUAUAAAUUUCGUGUAGGAUCAAAGUGUCUAAUUAUGGUUUUGGAGCGAUGAUGAUACAUUGUGGACUAGAGUUUCUGAUACUGCCACUUCAGUAGUAUUUGAAGACAAACCCUUGGCUGUCUGAGCUCCAGGAUUUACCAAAUCAUUUUGCUUUAGAUUUGAUUGACCUUGUCUGUAAGGUGUCAUGCGUCCAUUACCAAUUCCAGAGGAUGAUUUAAGUUCCUCAUGGUGUAAUGGCUUGAUGUGUGGUAUAUCCUGAUUGGUGGCUUUCAUUAUGCCAGCUGAUCUUGGAAACGCCACAUAUAAUUAAAUGUUUAUUUUGACUAUUUGGUUCAGUUCUGUAUAUAAAAUAAAUUAGGUUGAACUUUGAAAGUGAAAGUGUUACUGGUGACAGUGUCAACAGUUCUUUAAAUGUUUCAUAUGUAUAACUGAUAGAUUCUUCCAAAUUCUGUGAUACUGAUUUCAUUCUGAAGCUUAUUUUGUUGAAUAUAUGUGGAUGGUGAUAUCACAAGUAAAAUACAGUUAUCCCUGUCUUACUUCUUCGGAAGGGUGCUGAGUA
Molecule: non-coding RNA, 3972 nt
Organism: Lolium perenne
Lineage: Eukaryota; Viridiplantae; Streptophyta; Magnoliopsida; Poales; Poaceae
Source: RefSeq, a predicted model, not a curated record